UGGCGGCAGGCCUAACACAUGCAAGUCGAGCGGUAGCACAGAGAAGCUUGCUUCUUGGGUGACGAGCGGCGGACGGGUGAGUAAUGCAUAGGAAUCUGCCCGAUAGUGGGGGAUAACCUGGGGAAACCCAGGCUAAUACCGCAUACGUCCUACGGGAGAAAGGGGGCUCCGGCUCCCGCUAUUGGAUGAGCCUAUGUCGGAUUAGCUAGUUGGUGAGGUAAAGGCUCACCAAGGCAACGAUCCGUAGCUGGUCUGAGAGGAUGAUCAGCCACAUCGGGACUGAGACACGGCCCGAACUCCUACGGGAGGCAGCAGUGGGGAAUAUUGGACAAUGGGCGCAAGCCUGAUCCAGCCAUGCCGCGUGUGUGAAGAAGGCCUUCGGGUUGUAAAGCACUUUCAGCGAGGAAGAACGCCUAGUGGUUAAUACCCAUUAGGAAAGACAUCACUCGCAGAAGAAGCACCGGCUAACUCCGUGCCAGCAGCCGCGGUAAUACGGAGGGUGCGAGCGUUAAUCGGAAUUACUGGGCGUAAAGCGCGCGUAGGUGGCUUGAUAAGCCGGUUGUGAAAGCCCCGGGCUCAACCUGGGAACGGCAUCCGGAACUGUCAAGCUAGAGUGCAGGAGAGGAAGGUAGAAUUCCCGGUGUAGCGGUGAAAUGCGUAGAGAUCGGGAGGAAUACCAGUGGCGAAGGCGGCCUUCUGGACUGACACUGACACUGAGGUGCGAAAGCGUGGGUAGCAAACAGGAUUAGAUACCCUGGUAGUCCACGCCGUAAACGAUGUCGACCAGCCGUUGGGUGCCU
This 800-nucleotide ribosomal RNA is filed under the name Halomonas sp. JSM 102052. RNAcentral's name for it is "bacterial SSU rRNA". It matches the Rfam family "Bacterial small subunit ribosomal RNA", at positions 37 to 832 of the family's 1533-position model. Lineage: Bacteria; Pseudomonadati; Pseudomonadota; Gammaproteobacteria; Oceanospirillales; Halomonadaceae. The record is from RNAcentral.